This 240-nucleotide long non-coding RNA is filed under the name Olea europaea (common olive). RNAcentral's name for it is "long non-coding RNA (OEUR_LNC010056)". The record is from RNAcentral. Lineage: Eukaryota; Viridiplantae; Streptophyta; Magnoliopsida; Lamiales; Oleaceae.
GAAUGCUUCGUUUGGAAGACUUCAUCUUCUUCAACUAACUUCUAUCAUUUCAUCAUUUAUGCAUAGAAUUUACUGAUGUUAAUAGGUUGACGUUACCAGAAGUUUAAUGGGAUUUUACUGAUGUUAAGAAGGUUGAUUAAGUGUGAAAAGGGACAAUUAGGAGAGAAUUUCGAGGAUGAUUUUGAGAACGAAAUCAUGUGUCACAUUUUUGUGGCUAGAAAGAGACUCUUGCAAGUUUAG